CAAGUCACUUGACUUUUGAAGAAGGUGGGAUUUGACAAAUCCCCAAAGAGCCAAAGAGGGGAACCAUCACUUUCAGGUGUGGGUUUGCAGAUGGAAUCCUCACGACUGAGUGACAGCAGCUGGCUCUUGUUGAAGAGCUCUUUCCAGCCAGGCACUAAGUGUAUUCAACCCUCACAAGAGCCCCAGGAGGUGGGACCAAAGUCCCUGCACAUCACACAGGAGAAAGCGGCAGCACAGUGUGAGUGGACUGACCAACGCCACACAGCCGCCUGGAGAGGACAGUAAAGAUCUUUUGCUCGAGGACUGAAGGAGGCAGAGUGAACCAGGAGGGGCCCAAAGAGAAGUUCAGAGCAACAGUGGUACUGUGCAUUGGAACAUGAGAGUGAAUAAGAUAUGAUGGGGAGCCCUGGGUGUGUACAGCCUAGUGGAAAAGGUACAUUUGCAAUCCAGUAAUUAUCAAGUGAUAUGAGUCCUGCUUUCUAUCUUAAACUGCUAGUAAGUGCUGCUCUUUGCAAUGGAAGAUGGUGCCAAUGACUCACUUUCUAGAAGUCCACAUGAUCUGAGAUGGUUUUCGUAGUGGGGAAAUGCCCACAUUUGGAGGUUGCUACUCUUUUCUGUGUAAGGUAUGAAGUGCUAUGUACACACAAGAAAGGAAGAGAUUACUCUCAAGGAGAAAGAGUGGUGAGAGAAUCACGGAGGAUGUGUGAUAAACUGUACUCUGAAGGAAAGAUUGAUGCCAAGAAGAUAAGAACUACAUUUUAAC
Lemur catta (Ring-tailed lemur) is the source of this 763-nucleotide long non-coding RNA. RefSeq lists it as uncharacterized. The transcript is spliced from 6 exons. The record is from RefSeq and is a predicted model, not a curated record. Lineage: Eukaryota; Metazoa; Chordata; Mammalia; Primates; Lemuridae.